CUGCAUCACUACUACUGCAUCACUACUGCAUCACUACUGCAUCACUACUGCAUCACUACUGCACUCUGUACUACUGCUGUGAAGGUUUGGGCCCAGCACACCAGGGAGCCUGGUAGAUUUCCUCUGCAGCUCUUACUGUCUGGGUUUAGUUUGUUUUCUUUGCUGUUAAUUUUUGUUUCUAGUCCGCCGGGCAUAUGAGCCGGUAUUUGAGGCAAAAGAUCUCUGGGGUUGCCUAAGUAGGCGGACUAGUUUUUUUUUUUUUUUUCGUGUUGUUUGUUUUGUUUGUUUUAAUUGUCACCACUUCCCCAGCGCAGGUCAGGGCGGACCAUCGGGGAGGGUCAAGGUCAUUCUGGGUGCGAGCUGACGGAGGAUCUGAUUUGAGUGUGUAAACGCCACAAGUUUGUUGCAUGCCAAUAGUGUGAAUAUAGUUGCAGUGAUAUUGCAUGCUCAUACAUGGUGUGAUUAUAGUUGAAGUUGCAGUGAUAUUGCAUGCUCAUACAUAGUGUGAUUUAAGUUGCAGUGAUAUUGUGUGACAAGGAGUCUUUUUACUCCCUUACUGUAGGAGUGUGACACUGAAUUCCUCCUCAGUAAAGCAUCAAAAUACCUGCUCAAGCCACCCUAACCCUAACCCGCCCGUAAGACAUUGAAAUCUGCGCCAAUUAUCUUAUGGUGACUCAUGAAUUUUAUGUUAUUUAAUGUAAUAAACCUUGGCACAUUUUCUCUUUAAA
This is a long non-coding RNA of Labrus bergylta (ballan wrasse), 728 nucleotides long. RefSeq lists it as uncharacterized. NCBI's taxonomy places the organism in Eukaryota, Metazoa, Chordata, Actinopteri, Labriformes, Labridae. The record is from RefSeq and is a predicted model, not a curated record.